Molecule: ribosomal RNA, 496 nt
Filed under: uncultured bacterium
Lineage: Bacteria
Description: partial 16S ribosomal RNA
Rfam family: Bacterial small subunit ribosomal RNA
Source: RNAcentral
GAUGAACGCUGGCGGCGUGCCUAAUACAUGCAAGUCGAGCGAACAGAUGAGGAGCUUGCUCCUCUGACGUUAGCGGCGGACGGGUGAGUAACACGUGGAUAACCUACCUAUAAGACUGGGAUAACUUCGGGAAACCGGAGCUAAUACCGGAUAAUAUAUUGAACCGCAUGGUUCAAUAGUGAAAGACGGUUUUGCUGUCACUUAUAGAUGGAUCCGCGCCGCAUUAGCUAGUUGGUAAGGUAACGGCUUCCAAGGCAACGAUGCGUAGCCGACCUGAGAGGGUGAUCGGCCACACUGGAACUGAGACUCGGUCCAGACUCCUACGGGAGGCAGCAGUAGGGAAUCUUCCGCAAAGGGCGAAAGCCUGACGGAGCAACGCCGCGUGAGUGAUGAAGGUCUUCGGAUCGUAAAACUCUGUUAUUAGGGAAGAACAAAUGUGUAAGUAACUAUGCACGUCUUGACGGUACCUAAUCAGAAAGCCACGGCUAACUACGUG